Solanum pennellii is the source of this 368-nucleotide long non-coding RNA. RefSeq lists it as uncharacterized. Lineage: Eukaryota; Viridiplantae; Streptophyta; Magnoliopsida; Solanales; Solanaceae. The record is from RefSeq and is a predicted model, not a curated record. The transcript has 2 exons.
AAUUAUUUGUUUAAAUCUUCCCUUCCAAAAUUUCCCAAAAGCACAACCCUAUCCUUCAGCAAUAGCUGCAUAAAUGUGUUCUUUUCUCGCUUUAACUCUGUCUUUUUCCUUCUCUUUCAUCUACUACACAUUGAAAUAAUAUCGGCUUAUGGAGGAGUGACGAAAUCAAAAUUGAUGGGGACAUGAAUUAUUUUUUUUCUCUCUUGGGUACAUUGAUAAAGUUGAGUAAAAUGAUGUUUCACUAUUUUGAACGAUAUUGCUAAAACUUUAUUAAUUUUUUCCCCUAAGAUGUUGCAUUUAAUGCAGAAUUUAAGAUAUUCUAAUACAAUUGUCUUUAUAAUGGAUGUCAAAAAUGGAUUCUCUAGUAA